ACAGCAGCAGCCACGGUAAUGCGGAGGGGGCUAGCGUUGUUCGGAAUUACUGGGCGUAAAGCGCACGUAGGCGGCUUGGUAAGUUAGAGGUGAAAGCCUGGAGCUCAACUCCAGAAUUGCCUUUAAGACUGCCGAGCUAGCAGGUGAGAGAGGUAAGUGGAAUUCCGAGUGUAGAGGUGAAAUUCGUAGAUAUUCGGAAGAACACCAGUGGCGAAGGCGGCUUACUGGCUCAUACUGGACGCUGAGGUGCGAAAGCGUGGGGAGCAAACAGGAUUAGAGACCCCUGUAGUCCCUGUCUCUUAUAA
This 305-nucleotide ribosomal RNA is filed under the name uncultured bacterium. Its description in RNAcentral is "partial 16S ribosomal RNA". It matches the Rfam family "Bacterial small subunit ribosomal RNA", at positions 506 to 809 of the family's 1533-position model. The record is from RNAcentral.